ACUGCUUUAUAGCCUUUUGACUAAGAUUAAGUGUAUUACUAAUAUUACAACCUAAUAUCAUAUUCUCUGAUCAAAGACAAUAUAUUUAAUGUAUUUUGGGAGCAGGAAAUGGAAUGAGUUUGCUCUGUUUACUGCACACAUAGACCAGGUAUUGCAGUAACUUCUGAAAUGCUGUGCACACACA
This is a small nuclear RNA of Heterocephalus glaber (naked mole-rat), 184 nucleotides long. Its record names the gene U2. It matches the Rfam family "U2 spliceosomal RNA". Rfam says of the family: U2 is a small nuclear RNA (snRNA) component of the spliceosome (involved in pre-mRNA splicing). Complementary binding between U2 snRNA (in an area lying towards the 5' end but 3' to hairpin I) and the branchpoint sequence (BPS) of the intron results the bulging out of an unpaired adenosine, on the BPS, which initiates a nucleophilic attack at the intronic 5' splice site, thus starting the first of two transesterification reactions that mediate splicing. The record is from Ensembl. Lineage: Eukaryota; Metazoa; Chordata; Mammalia; Rodentia; Bathyergidae.